GCGCCGCACCACAUCGGGGUUUCUCAGUGCAAAACCACCCCCGGAGCUGGCGUUAUCGGUUAGCGCGCGCGACGAUAUAAGCCAAACCCGACACUCGGCCGAUUACAACAAACUUUGUCGCAAAACUUACCAAGUACAACUUCCGGCGACCUGAAGCUGAAACCUCAAAGUUCGUUCAAGUACGUCGAACCGGAAAAAGUCAGUUUUCGAUCUGUCGCGAUCGGUAUUUUUUGUUUUAGCGCAAUUGCACGUCUUUUGGAAAUUUAGAAAAUUAUUAUAGCGAUAGACUAAUUCUAAAAAAAAAAAAAAAAAAGCAGGAUUUAAAACGGCAGGAUUUAAAAGACAAUUCCGCAAGACGCCAAACUUUAGUUCGCCAAGUUGAAGUAUUCGGCGGCGAACGUAUGGAAUUCGACGAUCGCGCGUACUUUCAAUACUCGAUCUGUCGGUGAUCAGUGCAGUGUUUUUCGAUUUAGACCCAUCACGGAAUUCCUGGGAUCUCGAUGAAAUACCGUGAAACUUUUGAUGUACGCCACCAUAUGGAAUUAAGAAAGUAGGACGAAGACAAAGAAUAGAGGAAUAAUGCAAUAAUCGAUUAAUUGUACGAUUAUAAUAAUGUAAUAAAAUAGAGGCGAAGUGUAUAAUUAGAGAAAUGUAUGACUCGCUACGAUCGAGCGAAUGUAAUAAUUGACAAACGAAUGGUACAAUUAAUAAGGGCAAACCUCAAUUCCUCAAAUUUAAGUGAACAGCGAUAAACGAGUCUUGAUAAAUCGAAUAUUUACAUUAUCCAUCAUUGCAUCUUUACACUGCUCGAUCGAAAAGUUCUCAUUGUCAGUGCGAUAUUUUAUCCCCCAAAAAAAUGCCGACUUUCGCCACGUGGUAAAUCAGACAUAUAUAUAACUACAAAAGUGGAUAAAUAAAAUCAUCAAGAUUACGUGUGAGAUCAACGUUUAAUUCGUAUUUUUAAUAAAUUUGGAGACGAAUCAAACUGACACAAGAAGUAAAAACAUCAUCAUGUCAACAUCCUUCUACACGGCCGAUUUUUUCUCAUCCCAGGAUCUCAUCGAUCCUUGAGACUUCUCCGAGAGUCGAAGGAAAAAUUCGAAAAAGAUGACACCGUGAAGCAGCGAUGAGCGAUGCCGAUGAGAGAAUCGUCGAUCGUGGAAGCCGGUCGUUCGACAGGGAGCAUGAACUUGACGAAAAGAAAAUACACCCCCGGCAUCCUCGACGUCGCCGACACCGGCCGCAGGAUCCCCAGGACGAGAUCAGGAUCCCGUUGAGGCAGAAUCGAGCUUACGUACGCCUAAGUCGCAGUAAAUGUGUGCAACGCAGUUCCUAUUUUUCUUAAUAUCUCAGCCAGACCGGUCUAACGUCGUCCUCACGUGCUGAUCGAUUCGCGUCGAAUCAUAAUAAUAAGAAAUAAUAACAUGGGGCCGAAUCUGACGAAUGUCAGCGCUCUCAUCAACUGCAGCUCGCCCUUCGCGAGCGAAAUCGAGGAGUGCAAGAGGUACGUAGAUUAUAAUCACGAACUAGUCGAAACCAUCGUGGUGGUGGUGGUGCCGCUGUUCUUCGGUAUAAUCGGCAUCCUCGGUCUCGUCGGGAAUUCGCUGGUAGUCGUGGUGGUAGCGGCGAAUCCCGGAAUGAGGUCGACCACGAAUAUUCUCAUCAUCAAUCUCGCCGUGGCGGAUCUCCUGUUCGUUAUAUUUUGUAUACCGUUCACGGCCGCCGACUUCGUCCUGCCCUACUGGCCGUUCGGCAACGUCUGGUGCAAGAUGGUUCAGUACCUGAUCAUCGUCACCGCUUACGCGAGCGUUUACACCCUGGUCCUCAUGAGCCUCGACAGAUAUCUGGCGGUGGUGCAUCCCAUUACCUCGAUGUCCUGGAGAACCGAGAAUCACGCCAUAUUGGCGAUCGGCGUCACGUGGGUGAUGAUCCUGGCUCUGUCCACUCCCGCCAUUGUGAUCCACGGCGAGAUUCGCUACGUGUUCCAGGAGGGUGACGAUCCGAUGCAGAACCUGACUGCCUGCCGGGUCCUGGCACAGUACGACUGGAUGACCUUCCAGGUGUCCUUCUUCCUCACAAGCUACGUGCUGCCCCUCGUGCUGAUAUGCAUCUUUUACAUGUCCAUGCUGAUCAAGCUCUGGCGAGGCACCCGCGUCAGCACCGAGAGUCGACGCGGCAGGAGACGCGUCACCAGGCUCGUCUUCGUCGUCGUAGGAGUCUUCGCCGCCUGUUGGUGUCCGAUACAGGUGAUACUGGUGUGCAAGUCCUUGGACGUGUUCCCGUACACCACGAUGACGAUAAUGGUCCAGAUAGUCAGCCAUAUCCUUGCUUAUACCAACAGCUGCGUCAACCCAUUUCUAUACGCCUUCCUGAGCGAUAACUUUCGCAAAGCCUUCCGGAAGAUUAUCUACUGCAGACCGAGAGCGGAGCCGAAUAAUCGGCUGGGACCAGCCACGAGGACAACGAGAGCCGCGAGCAGCGGCGAUAUUCUUUAGAGACGUAAAUUCUCUCACUGGCGACGGCGCGGAUCGGCGAAUGUCUACGAUCUAUAGGAUAUUCGGUGUUUUGAUGUCAUCUGGCGAUUAAGUGAAAAGACACGUGUGUUUUUAAUUCUUCAAAUCUCCGCCAAAUAUAUACCACCCACCCAUCCACCCACACACACACUUCAUGUUCUCUCAAUUUCUUUUUCGACAAAAUAAAUGCUCCAAGAUAACUGGACGGAAUCAGAUUUAUGGAACGAUGAUGUCGGGAAAGAAAUUAAUUCGAGCUUUUAUAUCGAAUGAAGUAAAAGCUCGUUCCUCGAUAAUGACACGAUUUAUUUUAUUUGUGUCCCUUAUUUUCUUCUCGACACUAAAAUAUCUUCGACAGUUUGCUGGCAAAAUUUUCAAAUUGUUGAUAGAUAUCCUAAAUAUUUAAGCUAUUAAAUGUAAAAAAAAGAACUAAUUAAAAUCUUUUUAUCCGAGGUAUCGUGAAACAAGAAAGAAGUCGUUUCAUUACGUUGGACAAAUGUAAUUUUUAUCGGUGCCGUAAUCCAAUAUUUGCACUGACCGAUUCGGAGCGACCUUAAACUGUACACGGACGAGGGUGUAAUGAAUUUCCCUUUGAGCUAGAUAUGCAAACGUGAAAGAGAAAGAGCAUCACCUUUAGCAACGCGAACAAACGGUUUAACGAGACGAUGGGGGAUGAUUUUAAGUAGAUAGGAGUU
Molecule: non-coding RNA, 3205 nt
Organism: Nylanderia fulva
Lineage: Eukaryota; Metazoa; Arthropoda; Insecta; Hymenoptera; Formicidae
Source: RefSeq, a predicted model, not a curated record